Esox lucius (northern pike) is the source of this 469-nucleotide long non-coding RNA. RefSeq lists it as uncharacterized. Lineage: Eukaryota; Metazoa; Chordata; Actinopteri; Esociformes; Esocidae. The transcript is spliced from 2 exons. The record is from RefSeq and is a predicted model, not a curated record.
CAUCGCUGAAAUCAGAUGAAGCACUGCUACGGGUUCUCCCGCCACUUUAAAAAUAAAAAUACAAAUAAGAAGAAAAGGUCAGGUCUCUUUCAUGAGGCGGGCAGAAGUUCCAGAAGCUCCAGUUCUAGAAUCAUACCAGAUGAACCAUUGAUCCAUAGAUGGCGAGCCUUUCCAAUGAACCGUGAACCUUCACCACAGCAUCCUGGAAGCUUGUGGUAGGAUUGUGUCAGUUCAACAAACUGGCAGCAAUGAGAUUUCUCUUUAGAAUAUUUACCCUCGACUUUGACUAACUGACUCGAACUCUGGAUUGAACUCUGGGAUCCCUAAGAACCAUUUCCAAGGAACAUUUUCAGAAAGGACAUUUUAUUUUACAUUUAUUCUGGGCCCAUAGGUAGUGUGCACACAAUUGUUGUGAAGUGCUUGAAAUAUUUUAUUGAACUCAAAAGUUUACACAUUUCAAACCAUUACA